This 253-nucleotide ribosomal RNA is filed under the name uncultured bacterium. RNAcentral describes it as "partial 16S ribosomal RNA". It matches the Rfam family "Bacterial small subunit ribosomal RNA", at positions 524 to 776 of the family's 1533-position model. RNAcentral also lists the same sequence under 1 other name. The record is from RNAcentral.
UACGAAGGGGGCUAGCGUUGCUCGGAUUUACUGGGCGUAAAGGGCGCGUAGGCGGACAUUUAAGUCAGGGGUGAAAUCCCGGGGCUCAACCUCGGAACUGCCUUUGAUACUGGGUGUCUUGAGUAUGAGAGAGGUGUGUGGAACUCCGAGUGUAGAGGUGAAAUUCGUAGAUAUUCGGAAGAACACCAGUGGCGAAGGCGACACACUGGCUCAUUACUGACGCUGAGGCGCGAAAGCGUGGGGAGCAAACAGG